GAAGGAUGCAAACAAAACACCAGUCAGACUCAUACUGUGAUGCUGAAUUUGUGAUGCAAAUGAACGUUUCCUUGGAUGUGGUUAUGUUUACUUGCACUUAUUUUUUGCACUUAUUUUUGAAAUCAGAAACAUUUUUUGCCUUCAAGUGUUUGCCAAGAUUCCUUUGAAAACAAGGCAGAACAUGAUGCCAUGCAGGAAUUUUUUCCUAAGAAAAUGCGGCCAUCUGGCUGCUGAAUUAUUUGACCCCUUAUCUGUUUUGAUGUAUUUACAAUCCUUGAAGAUGAUGAGGAAAAACACAGCUUCUUCCACUAAAUGCUGUCUGUUCCUGGAUACUCUUAGCAUAAUUUGCCCUUUUGGAGACAAUCUGGAGAAAAAAAGCACAAAUUAAAAUUUCCAAUCAGCACAAUGAUAAGGAUGGGACUAUUACAAAUAUAUCAAUAAAUCAAUAAAGAUUAGGAACUUC
Molecule: long non-coding RNA, 463 nt
Organism: Xenopus tropicalis (tropical clawed frog)
Lineage: Eukaryota; Metazoa; Chordata; Amphibia; Anura; Pipidae
Exons: 2
Source: RefSeq, a predicted model, not a curated record